UACGGAGGGUGCAAGCGUUAAUCGGAAUUACUGGGCGUAAAGGGUGCGUAGGUGGUUUGGUAAGUUAGCUGUGAAAUUCCUGGGCUCAACCUGGGGGGGUCAGCUAAAACUGCGAGACUAGAGUGUAGGAGAGGGUAGUGGAAUUUCCGGUGUAGCGGUGAAAUGCGUAGAGAUCGGAAGGAACACCAGUGGCGAAGGCGGCUACCUGGCCUAACACUGACACUGAGGCACGAAAGCGUGGGGAGCAAAC
RNAcentral lists this ribosomal RNA (250 nucleotides) under uncultured bacterium. RNAcentral's name for it is "partial 16S ribosomal RNA". It matches the Rfam family "Bacterial small subunit ribosomal RNA", at positions 524 to 773 of the family's 1533-position model. The record is from RNAcentral.